AUGCAUGUGGAUCAUGUUGAAAAUAUUUUAUGUGAUAGCUAUUAUGUUGAAUUUGCUUAUGAUCCUACAUGUAAUUAUUAUGAGAGAAAUAUGGUGGUAGAAAUUUUCAUGUCACUAGCUAAAUUACCUCUCGUUAUGUUGAGAUUGCUAUUGUUUCUUUCCGCCUCCUUGCAUAUGCAAGUUUUUGCUUGCCUUGAUAAUUUGUUUCCCUAUAAGAUGCCUAUGCAUAAGAAGUAUGUUAGACUUAGAUGUGUUUUUCACCUGUUUUAUGAUGCUCUCUUUGUGCUUCAAUUCUUGUCUUUCAUGUGA
RNAcentral lists this ribosomal RNA (309 nucleotides) under Triticum aestivum (bread wheat). RNAcentral describes it as "partial small subunit ribosomal RNA". The record is from RNAcentral. Lineage: Eukaryota; Viridiplantae; Streptophyta; Magnoliopsida; Poales; Poaceae.